GACGAACGCUGGCGGCGUGCUUAACACAUGCGAGUCGAACGGAAAGGCCCUGCUUGCAGGGUACUCGAGUGGCGAACGGGUGAGUAACACGUGGGUGAUCUGCCCUGCACUUCGGGAUAAGCCUGGGAAACUGGGUCUAAUACCGGAUAGGAGCCAUUUUUAGUGUGAUGGUUGGAAAGUUUUUUCGGUGUAGGAUGAGCUCGCGGCCUAUCAGCUUGUUGGUGGGGUAAUGGCCUACCAAGGCGGCGACGGGUAGCCGGCCUGAGAGGGUGGACGGCCACAUUGGGACUGAGAUACGGCCCAGACUCCUACGGGAGGCAGCAGUGGGGAAUAUUGCACAAUGGGCGCAAGCCUGAUGCAGCGACGCCGCGGGGGGGAUGACGGCCUUCGGGUUGUAAACUCCUUUCGCUAGGGACGAAGCUUUUUGUGACGGUACCUAGAUAAGAAGCACCGGCUAACUACGUG
This 465-nucleotide ribosomal RNA is filed under the name uncultured bacterium. RNAcentral describes it as "partial 16S ribosomal RNA". It matches the Rfam family "Bacterial small subunit ribosomal RNA", at positions 28 to 507 of the family's 1533-position model. The record is from RNAcentral.